GAUGAACGCUGGCGGCGUGCUUAACACAUGCAAGUCGAACGAAGCAUUUGCGACAGAUUUUUUCGGAAUGAAGUUGCUUAUGACUGAGUGGCGGACGGGUGAGUAACGCGUGGGUAACCUGCCUUGUACUGGGGGAUAGCAGCUGGAAACGGCUGGUAAUACCGCAUAAGCGCACAAUGUUGCAUGACAUGGUGUGAAAAACUCCGGUGGUAUAAGAUGGACCCGCGUCUGAUUAGCUAGUUGGUGAGAUAACAGCCCACCAAGGCGACGAUCAGUAGCCGACCUGAGAGGGUGACCGGCCACAUUGGGACUGAGACACGGCCCAGACUCCUACGGGAGGCAGCAGUGGGGAAUAUUGCACAAUGGAGGAAACUCUGAUGCAGCGACGCCGCGUGAGUGAAGAAGUAAUUCGUUAUGUAAAGCUCUAUCAGCAGGGAAGAUAGUGACGGUACCUGACUAAGAAGCUCCGGCUAAAUGCGUG
This 481-nucleotide ribosomal RNA is filed under the name uncultured bacterium. RNAcentral describes it as "partial 16S ribosomal RNA". It matches the Rfam family "Bacterial small subunit ribosomal RNA", at positions 28 to 507 of the family's 1533-position model. The record is from RNAcentral.